Molecule: ribosomal RNA, 1962 nt
Filed under: Salmonella enterica subsp. enterica serovar Give
Lineage: Bacteria; Pseudomonadati; Pseudomonadota; Gammaproteobacteria; Enterobacterales; Enterobacteriaceae
Description: partial 23S ribosomal RNA
Rfam family: Bacterial large subunit ribosomal RNA
Source: RNAcentral
AGACCCGAAACCCGGUGAUCUAGCCAUGGGCAGGUUGAAGGUUGGGUAACACUAACUGGAGGACCGAACCGACUAAUGUUGAAAAAUUAGCGGAUGACCUGUGGCUGGGGGUGAAAGGCCAAUCAAACCGGGAGAUAGCUGGUUCUCCCCGAAAGCUAUUUAGGUAGCGCCUCGUGAAUUCAUCUCCGGGGGUAGAGCACUGUUUCGGCUAGGGGGCCAUCCCGGCUUACCAACCCGAUGCAAACUGCGAAUACCGGAGAAUGUUAUCACGGGAGACACACGGCGGGUGCUAACGUCCGUCGUGAAGAGGGAAACAACCCAGACCGCCAGCUAAGGUCCCAAAGUCAUGGUUAAGUGGGAAACGAUGUGGGAAGGCCCAGACAGCCAGGAUGUUGGCUUAGAAGCAGCCAUCAUUUAAAGAAAGCGUAAUAGCUCACUGGUCGAGUCGGCCUGCGCGGAAGAUGUAACGGGGCUAAACCAUGCACCGAAGCUGCGGCAGCGACGCUGAUGCGUUGUUGGGUAGGGGAGCGUUCUGUAAGCCUGCGAAGGUGGCCUGUGAGGGUUGCUGGAGGUAUCAGAAGUGCGAAUGCUGACAUAAGUAACGAUAAAGCGGGUGAAAAGCCCGCUCGCCGGAAGACCAAGGGUUCCUGUCCAACGUUAAUCGGGGCAGGGUGAGUCGACCCCUAAGGCGAGGCCGAAAGGCGUAGUCGAUGGGAAACGGGUUAAUAUUCCCGUACUUGGUGUUACUGCGAAGGGGGGACGGAGAAGGCUAUGUUGGCCGGGCGACGGUUGUCCCGGUUUAAGCGUGUAGGUGUGUGUUCCAGGUAAAUCCGGUUCACUUUAACACUGAGGCGUGAUGACGAGGCACUACGGUGCUGAAGCAACAAAUGCCCUGCUUCCAGGAAAAGCCUCUAAGCAUCAGGUAACAUCAAAUCGUACCCCAAACCGACACAGGUGGUCAGGUAGAGAAUACCAAGGCGCUUGAGAGAACUCGGGUGAAGGAACUAGGCAAAAUGGUGCCGUAACUUCGGGAGAAGGCACGCUGACACGUAGGUGAAGUGAUUUACUCAUGGAGCUGAAGUCAGUCGAAGAUACCAGCUGGCUGCAACUGUUUAUUAAAAACACAGCACUGUGCAAACACGAAAGUGGACGUAUACGGUGUGACGCCUGCCCGGUGCCGGAAGGUUAAUUGAUGGGGUCAGCGCAAGCGAAGCUCCUGAUCGAAGCCCCGGUAAACGGCGGCCGUAACUAUAACGGUCCUAAGGUAGCGAAAUUCCUUGUCGGGUAAGUUCCGACCUGCACGAAUGGCGUAAUGAUGGCCAGGCUGUCUCCACCCGAGACUCAGUGAAAUUGAACUCGCUGUGAAGAUGCAGUGUACCCGCGGCAAGACGGAAAGACCCCGUGAACCUUUACUAUAGCUUGACACUGAACAUUGAGCCUUGAUGUGUAGGAUAGGUGGGAGGCUUUGAAGUGUGGACGCCAGUCUGCAUGGAGCCGGCCUUGAAAUACCACCCUUUAAUGUUUGAUGUUCUAACGUGGACCCGUGAUCCGGGUUGCGGACAGUGUCUGGUGGGUAGUUUGACUGGGGCGGUCUCCUCCUAAAGAGUAACGGAGGAGCACGAAGGUUGGCUAAUCCUGGUCGGACAUCAGGAGGUUAGUGCAAUGGCAUAAGCCAGCUUGACUGCGAGCGUGACGGCGCGAGCAGGUGCGAAAGCAGGUCAUAGUGAUCCGGUGGUUCUGAAUGGAAGGGCCAUCGCUCAACGGAUAAAAGGUACUCCGGGGAUAACAGGCUGAUACCGCCCAAGAGUUCAUAUCGACGGCGGUGUUUGGCACCUCGAUGUCGGCUCAUCACAUCCUGGGGCUGAAGUAGGUCCCAAGGGUAUGGCUGUUCGCCAUUUAAAGUGGUACGCGAGCUGGGUUUAGAACGUCGUGAGACAGUUCGGUCCCUAUCUGCCGUGGGCG